This 497-nucleotide ribosomal RNA is filed under the name uncultured bacterium. RNAcentral's name for it is "partial 16S ribosomal RNA". It matches the Rfam family "Bacterial small subunit ribosomal RNA", at positions 28 to 507 of the family's 1533-position model. The record is from RNAcentral.
GAUGAACGCUGGCGGCGUGCCUAAUACAUGCAAGUCGAGCGAACGGACGAGAAGCUUGCUUCUCUGAUGUUAGCGGCGGACGGGUGAGUAACACGUGGAUAACCUACCUAUAAGACUGGGAUAACUUCGGGAAACCGGAGCUAAUACCGGAUAAUAUUUUGAACCGCAUGGUUCAAAAGUGAAAGACGGUCUUGCUGUCACUUAUAGAUGGAUCCGCGCUGCAUUAGCUAGUUGGUAAGGUAACGGCUUACCAAGGCAACGAUGCAUAGCCGACCUAAGAGGGUGAUCGGCCACACUGGAACUGAGACACGGUCCAGACUCCUACGGGAGGCAGCAGUAGGGAAUCUUCCGCAAAGGGCGAAAGCCUGACGGAGCAACGCCGCGUGAGUGAUGAAGGUCUUCGGAUCGUAAAACUCUGUUAUUAGGGAAGAACAUAUGUGUAAGUAACUGUGCACAUCUUGACGGUACCUAAUCAGAAAGCCACGGCUAACUACGUG